GCGAUCUUAGCUCAGUUGGUAGAGUACUUGCAUGACAUGCAAGGUGUCACAGGUUCGAGUCCUGUAGGUCGCACCA
Molecule: transfer RNA, 76 nt
Filed under: Bdellovibrionales bacterium RIFCSPHIGHO2_01_FULL_40_29
Lineage: Bacteria; Pseudomonadati; Bdellovibrionota; Bdellovibrionia; Bdellovibrionales
Also listed under: 1 other name
Description: tRNA-Val
Rfam family: tRNA
About the family: Transfer RNA (tRNA) molecules are approximately 80 nucleotides in length.
Source: RNAcentral